ACGAUCGGAUCGACGGUCGCAACACAGUAGUUAGUUAGUUGUAUCCUUCCGCACUAGAUCUUUACCCCCGUAACACACCAUCCAGGGCUUUCUUCUUCUUCCCGAUCCGCGACUCAUCUUCUCGAAAAAGCCAGCGGAAGUAGCUUACGGCGAUGGUGAAGGUGUUGACCUACUUUGGGAUGACAUUGGCUGCUUUCGCCUUCUGGCAAUCCAUGGACAAAGUCCACGUCUGGAUCGCUCUUCACCAAGACGAGAAGCAAGAAAGGAUGGAGAAGGAGGCCGAGGUCAAGCGGGUUAGAGCUGAGCUGCUGCGGAAAGCUAGAGAGGAGGAUCCUCUUGCCUGAUCAUCAUCUUCAGUUGUAAUUUGGAUUUCCUACCAAAUAUGAGUUCUUUUUUUUUUCCAUUGUUAUGGACCCAAAAUGGAGUUUGCAUAAAACGACAAUACAUUAAAUGCUUUUGAAUGUGGGAUGAUGAUAAUCAUGAAUAAGUAGCUUUCUCUUUGUUGCUGCUCUC
Long non-coding RNA from Brassica oleracea var. oleracea, 513 nucleotides. RefSeq lists it as uncharacterized. The record is from RefSeq and is a predicted model, not a curated record. NCBI's taxonomy places the organism in Eukaryota, Viridiplantae, Streptophyta, Magnoliopsida, Brassicales, Brassicaceae. The transcript has 2 exons.